Molecule: RNA transcript, 2398 nt
Organism: Populus nigra (black poplar)
Lineage: Eukaryota; Viridiplantae; Streptophyta; Magnoliopsida; Malpighiales; Salicaceae
Gene name: serine/threonine-protein kinase SRK2E
Exons: 10
Source: RefSeq, a predicted model, not a curated record
CUUAUCCACACUGCAAACAAACCCAUAUCAGUCAUUUCAUUACCAUCACCCCCAUUCAGACAAAACCCAUAUCAUGAAACUUCCUUAACUUUUAGACAACAAGUCCAAGAGGGAAAAAAAGAUAUCACCCAGUCCCAGAGUAGUAAAAGAAGGUGAAAAGGCAAAGUGAAAGGCACAAAACCCUGUUAUCUUUUGCUUGUAGAUUGAAGGAAAGAAAGAAGGCGUAAAGAGUUAGUUUUUAGAGGGAGUCAGAAGGAAAAAAAUAAUGAUAUAAUUAAAAAGAAAACUUUAUCACAAGUUCUCUCCUCAUCCUCUCUCUUUCUCUAUUAUAUCUCUGCAACUCCCAUUCUCUAAUUUAAAAGAAAAUAAAAAAAAUGAAAAACCCAUGAAGGGUUGGUGAGCUUUUCACGUGUUUUUUGUUCAAAAAUCGAAUCUUUUUGGUCCACGUAUGGUUCCAUUUCGAUCUCUCUGGAAAAGGUUUUCUCUAGUGAUGUUGAUAAUGUGAGUUAUUGAUUGAGCCUUUUUUUUAUUUUUUUUUAUUUUUCUUCUCGUGGAUUCUUGUUUUUUUGAGAGAUAUAUUGAAAGUAGAGGGAGUUAUAAGGAGAAAUGGAUCGAUCGGCGAUGACAGUGGGACCUGGAAUGGACCUGCCGAUUAUGCACGAUGGAGACCGGUAUGAGCUAGUGAAAGAUAUUGGGUCAGGGAAUUUUGGUGUAGCUAGGUUGAUGAGGGAUAAACAGACUGAUGAUCUUGUUGCUGUUAAGUAUAUCGAGAGAGGUGAGAAGAUAGAUGAAAACGUGCGAAGAGAAAUCAUUAACCACAGGUCGCUUAGGCAUCCCAACAUUGUCAGAUUCAAAGAGGUCAUAUUAACCCCAACUCACCUGGCAAUUGUGAUGGAAUAUGCAUCUGGUGGAGAGCUCUUUGAGCGCAUAUGUAUUGCUGGUCGCUUCAGCGAGGAUGAGGCACGCUUUUUCUUUCAACAACUUAUAUCAGGAGUUAGCUACUGCCAUGCAAUGCAAGUAUGCCACCGUGACUUGAAACUGGAGAAUACAUUGUUGGAUGGAAGCCCAGCACCUCGAUUGAAGAUUUGUGAUUUUGGUUACUCUAAGUCUUCUGUGCUGCACUCACAACCGAAAUCUACUGUUGGAACUCCUGCCUAUAUUGCUCCUGAAGUGUUACUUAAGAAGGAAUACGAUGGCAAGAUUGCAGAUGUAUGGUCUUGUGGUGUGACUUUAUAUGUUAUGCUGGUGGGAGCAUACCCUUUCGAGGACCCUGAUGAGCCCAUGAAUUUUCGCAGGACAAUCCACCGAAUUUUAAAUGUCCAGUAUUCAAUUCCGGACUAUGUUCACAUAUCUCCUGAAUGCCAACAUCUAAUCUCAAGAAUUUUUGUAGCAGACCCUGCAAUGAGGAUUACCAUUCCCGAGAUUAGGAAUCAUGAAUGGUUUCUAAAGAAUCUCCCAGCAGAUCUCAUGGUGGAAAAUACAAUGAAUAACGAGUUUGAAGAACCCGAUCAACCAAUGCAAAGCAUUGAAGAGAUAAUGCAAAUAAUAUCUGAAGCCACCAUACCUGCAGCAGGCACCUCCAGCCUCAACCAAUAUUUGACUGGCAGCCUGGACAUUGAUGACGACAUGGAGGACUUGGAGAGUGAUCCUGAGCUUGACCUGGACAGCAGUGGAGAGAUAGUAUAUGCAAUGUGAGUGCCUAAUGGUGAAGGGGUAUCUAGAAUGCUGUGCUGAUUGCCUGUGAAAGUGAAGUGACUGUAAAAGAAUGGAGGACCAAGUUUCUACAUGCAUGUGUCCCGUUAUGCUAGCACCCUCAGAGGAUUGCUUCUGUUCUUCUGUGAUAUGUUGUCACACUUUCAAGUGGCAUAUAAAAUACUGUUUGUGUACACUUUGUAACACUUUCAUGAAUAUUUAGGGUAUGGACAUGUAUUUGACAAAAGCAACAGGGUUAGGCUGCCUGUCUUUAGUGCUUCUGCUGGCAAAAGGAACACCAGGUUAUCUUCGUCAAGGAUGCGUGUGAUCUGCAAUCAUCAUCUCUUGGUAAAGCUGUUUAUCUGCAAAGCUUCUUAGGCUCCUUUACUAUUUGGGGUAUGGAAGCAAGCAGAAAAAUUCGGAUGAUUUGGCAGAAACUAUUAACAUCUCAAAACAUCUCACAAUGAAUGACAACUUAGCUAGGGCGAGAGAGAGAAAGGGAAAUGGUUCAUGUUGCUGAACAUCUGAGGAAAAAACUUGAUGAUCUGACCUUCUGUCUGGUUUUGCUUAACACAACUCUUCUGGAGAACUACUUGUGUUCAUUUUUUUUCGUUGACUAGGACCUUGGACUCUUGUUUUAGUUCAAACUAGUUUUUUGUACCCGCGUAAUGUUGCGGCAUAAUUCUCAAAACUUAUUUUUAUUUAA